Molecule: transfer RNA, 72 nt
Filed under: Ictidomys tridecemlineatus (thirteen-lined ground squirrel)
Lineage: Eukaryota; Metazoa; Chordata; Mammalia; Rodentia; Sciuridae
Description: Spermophilus tridecemlineatus (thirteen-lined ground squirrel) tRNA
Rfam family: tRNA
About the family: Transfer RNA (tRNA) molecules are approximately 80 nucleotides in length. Their secondary structure includes four short double-helical elements and three loops (D, anti-codon, and T loops).
Source: Rfam by way of RNAcentral
UGUGUUGUGACUCAGUGGUAGAGCGCUUGCCUAGCAUGUAUGAGGCACUGGGUUUGAUUCUCAGCAACACAU